RNAcentral lists this ribosomal RNA (484 nucleotides) under uncultured bacterium. Its description in RNAcentral is "partial 16S ribosomal RNA". It matches the Rfam family "Bacterial small subunit ribosomal RNA", at positions 30 to 507 of the family's 1533-position model. The record is from RNAcentral.
AUUGAACGCUGGCGGCAGGCCUAACACAUGCAAGUCGAGCGGAUGAAGGGAGCUUGCUCCUGGAUUCAGCGGCGGACGGGUGAGUAAUGCCUAGGAAUCUGCCUGGUAGUGGGGGAUAACGUCCGGAAACGGGCGCUAAUACCGCAUACGUCCUGAGGGAGAAAGUGGGGGAUCUUCGGACCUCACGCUAUCAGAUGAGCCUAGGUCGGAUUAGCUAGUUGGUGGGGUAAAGGCCUACCAAGGCGACGAUCCGUAACUGGUCUGAGAGGAUGAUCAGUCACACUGGAACUGAGACACGGUCCAGACUCCUACGGGAGGCAGCAGUGGGGAAUAUUGGACAAUGGGCGGAAGCCUGAUCCAGCCAUGCCGCGUGGGUGAAGAAGGUCUUCGGAUUGUAAAGCACUUUAAGUUGGGAGGAAGGGCAGUAAGUUAAUACCUUGCUGUUUUGACGUUACCAACAGAAUAAGCACCGGCUAACUUCGUG